CCUCUUCAUAUCGACCAAUCCCCCUCUCCCUCUCCCUCUCCCUCUUCUGCAACUCUCUCUCUGUCUCUCUCUGUCUCUGCUCGUGCAUCAAACCGUCUUCUAGGGUUCUUCAGUGGCGCACGGCGAGCGGCUCUUCUUGGUUCUUGAAUCCCAUGUGAAUCUUGGCGCUCGCCCUCUUGUGAUUCGAGUUACUUGCCCAUUUCUUCUCCCGUGUGGUCUCGCCAAUAUUCCUCUGCUGGGUUUUGCUCCAAUUCUUGAUUCGUCCCGGUGUGUGGCUCCUCCAAUUGAGGCCGCUUUUGCGUUCAAAGACCGAAUCUUGACCGGUUUCGCGACGUGGGUGUUUCGUUUCUUCCGACGGCUGGGUUCUUGGUUCGAUGCUGCGUCUUGGGUUCGGGAGCUAUGGGCGGGUUUUCUGUGGAUGAACGUGGUGCUUAGGGUUUUCGUCGCUUCGGAUAAGUAGGAAUCCCUGUGCGGGCGUGUUCAGUUCUGAUGAAUAGCGUGUUCAGCGAGCAGAUACUGGCGGACAAGCUCUCCAAGCUCAACAGCACACAGCAGUGCAUUGAGACUCUGUCACAUUGGUGUAUAUUUCAUCGAAGUAAGGCGGAGCUGGUUGUUGCAACAUGGGAUAAGCAAUUUCACAACUCGGAAAUGGUUCAGAAAGUUCCUCUAUUAUAUCUUGCAAAUGACAUACUGCAAAACAGCAAGCGCAAGGGAAAUGAAUUUGUGAAUGAAUUCUGGAAGGUUCUUCCAGCAGCACUUAAAGAUGUUGUUGAGAAAGGCGAUGAUCGUGGGAAGAAUGUAGUUUCAAGAUUGGUUGUUAUCUGGGAAGAAAGAAGAGUAUUUGGAUCCCGUGCACAGAACCUCAAAGAUUUAAUGCUUGGAGAAGAAGUUCUUCCUCCCUUGGAAUUAAACAGAAAGCGUUCACGUUCUGUCAGGAUUGUUAAAAGGGAUUCACGCUCAAUUAGAACGAAAUUGUCGAUUGGAUCGACAGCUGAAAAAAUUGUUUCGGCAAUUCACCUGGUUCUUAGUGAGCAUCCUAACGAGGAUGUGGAGAUGAGUAACUGCAAGUCUGCUGUCCAUCGUGUGAGGAAGAUGGAGAAAGAUGUUGAUGUAGCCUGUGCGACUGCUAAGGAUCCAAAGAGGCGAACAUUGGCUAAAGAGCUUGAGAAUGAAGAGAACACCUUAAAGCAGUGCAUCGAGAAACUCAAAUCAGUCGAACCAAGUAGAGUAUUACUUGUAUCUCAUUUAAAAGAAGCACUGCAUGAACAGGAAUCUCAGCUUGAGAAUGUUCGAACUCAAAUACAGGUGGCACAAGCACAAGCAGAAGAAGCUGAAAGUAUGAGAAAACAGCUAAUGGACGAAGAUUAUGUAUUCAAAUCGCCCACCUCUGCUACUCAAGGCCUUGAUAUAAAUGCAAAAGGGAGACAAACGCCCAAGAGGACAGCUGCAGCCAUUGCAGCUGAGGUUGCAGACAAGCUCACAGCUUCUAGCUCCUCACAACUGAUUAUGAGUUCAGUUUUGUCAACGUUUGCUGCUGAAGAGGCAAAGAGUGCUGGGCAUACAAAGAGCUCCAUUAAAUCAGAGAAAACAACACCAGUAUCAGAUGCUAGUGCUUUUAUGCCAUCUCAGCCACAUACUGCUCCUUCGAACCAGUUUGUCGUUGUUCACCAGCAAAACAUUCAGCAGAAUCAAGGCUCGGUGUCUCAAAGUCCAUAUUUACUUCCAAACCAGUCUCCUCAGCAGUAUUUGCAGCAGCCCUCUGGAGCAAGGAUGCCCUCCUAUGGUUAUGUUAACUUCCCAACCAUGUCGGCCGGACCAUCCCCACCACCACAUGUGUCGAGUGCAGUGGUGCCUUUGAGUCAGCAGUCGUUACCCAUGGCACAGAAACAACCAAUGGCUUUGUCUCAGCAGCCGGUUGCUUUAACUCCACAACAACCCAUGCCCUUGAGUCAACAACUGCCCAUUCCUCCUAGUUUUCGGCCGCUUCAGCCACCAGGCAUGGUGUAUUAUAGUCAUCAGCACCAUUCCCAGUAAAAUUGCAAUAAUGAGGAUGCAUAUUCUGUGGCAGCUUUGUCGCGACAAAUUUGAGUAACUUUGUGGAGAGUUUGGUUUCCAGUUAACAGGUUUUGUUCAAUAUAAACAGCCGAUCUGGCCUUUAGUACUACCAGUAAAGCAGGCAAAAUUAUUGGGUGCUCUCGACCUAUUCAUCUUCUCUCCUAUGAGCCACUGGUCUGGACAUGGGGAGCAUGUUGAUCGUAGCAGGCGGUAUGUGAAUAUGAGCUGGUUUUGUGCUGAUAGGUUUCAGCAUUAAUAACUCAGCUAAUUGCUAGGUUAGUCUAGGACUAAACCACAGGUUGAGUCAGUUAGUUACUUGAGAAUUGGGAGAAAGUUAUCUGGCCUCCUGUAGUAGCGAGUCUUGGCCCAUAAUUUUUAGGUUUCUCUUUCGGACUCGAGUCCCCGUGUAAUGUCAUUCACUGUUGAGAAAUAAUCAGAUGAGAGG
Molecule: RNA transcript, 2500 nt
Organism: Syzygium oleosum
Lineage: Eukaryota; Viridiplantae; Streptophyta; Magnoliopsida; Myrtales; Myrtaceae
Exons: 8
Source: RefSeq, a predicted model, not a curated record